This 68-nucleotide transfer RNA is filed under the name Dasysyrphus albostriatus. RNAcentral describes it as "tRNA-Ser". Lineage: Eukaryota; Metazoa; Arthropoda; Insecta; Diptera; Syrphidae. The record is from RNAcentral.
AGUUAAUGAACUUGAAUAAGUUUAUGUUUUGAAAACAUAGUAUAGAAAUUUUAAUUUUCUAUUAACUU